Molecule: long non-coding RNA, 227 nt
Filed under: Mytilus galloprovincialis (Mediterranean mussel)
Lineage: Eukaryota; Metazoa; Mollusca; Bivalvia; Mytilida; Mytilidae
Source: RNAcentral
CUCCCCUAACUUGGGACAGUGGUGUAACAGUACAACAUGAGAACGAACUAUGAAAAUCAGUUGAAAGAGGCUUAACUCAUCAGAUGGAUAAAUAUACAAAUACUACAAAUACAAGUGGACGUGGCCAGGUACUGGUACAUCCAAACAACAAAAAGACACUAAGUACGGAUCUGAGAGUACUCGCAGUUACUGACAGCUAGUUCAAAGCCACUAACAACUAAUAAAAA